GAACUGAGGGGGGCUGCUCCUAGUACGAGAGGACCGGAGUGGACGCAUCACUGGUGUUCGGGUUGUCAUGCCAAUGGCACUGCCCGGUAGCUAAAUGCGGAAGAGAUAAGUGCUGAAAGCAUCUAAGCACGAAACUUGCCCCGAGAUGAGUUCUCCCUGACUCCUUGAGAGUCCUGAAGGAACGUUGAAGACGACGACGUUGAUAGGCCGGGUGUGUAAGCGCAGCGAUGCGUUGAGCUAACCGGUACUAAUGAACCGUGAGGCUUAACCUUACAACGCCGAAGCUGUU
Molecule: ribosomal RNA, 289 nt
Filed under: Escherichia coli
Lineage: Bacteria; Pseudomonadati; Pseudomonadota; Gammaproteobacteria; Enterobacterales; Enterobacteriaceae
Description: partial 23S ribosomal RNA
Rfam family: Bacterial large subunit ribosomal RNA
Source: RNAcentral